ACUGCACAGCAAAGCAUCUUGUGUAGAUACACCCAGUGAAACCUUGCUGCUUAAAAUACGCAUUGGAACUUCUUUUUCAUGAAGGAGACGGGAGAAGAAUGGUGGAAGCCCUGCAUUUAAUUAACAUUACAGAUGAAGGGCUAAAUCCUGCAUUAUCAUUAAGACCUCUAAGUGCCACUUUUAUGGUUUUAGGCAUCUAAAUGCAAUUGCAUUUCACCCAGCAUGAAUUUCAUGAUCGUGGAUAAGCAAGAAAGUUAUCUCCAUAUUUUCCCUUGAUGUCUAACCAGACUGGAUCUUAUGCUAUUCCACAUGCUCAGUAGCAAUACAGCCACCAAGAUGUCUAAUUCUAUCUGGCCUCCCUGAAAUUGCAAUCCAGUGUCACUGGCGAAGCAUAUCAGUUUUACAAAAGACCCCUAAAUUGCAGUUGGCAAAAAAACAAUAACUUGUAUGAUUUGGCUUGCAUAAUGGUAACAGUGCUGCUGCUAUCCAGUAGUUUAAUGGCUAAGGCACUGGUACAAGACACAGAAAGCCUACGUUCUGGGAAGAGAUCAGUACUCGCAUCCCAAAACAGUAGCUUAACCACCAAGCUUUAGCCUAGGCAGGGCUGAUACCACUGUCUUAGCAAAGUUAGGCUGAUUGGUAGUGAAGAAGGAAAGAUUUGUGCUGUCAGGAGAACAAGCAAAAUAUAGCUUGACCUUGAAGUCUGAUGAGGAGACUGGUUUGGGAGAGAAGGAAUUUUUGCUUCUAGUGCUGUUUGUGCAUUUUACAUUAAACUGUCCUGGGGAAAAAAUGCAUAAAUGUCACUGGGAGCAGAAAUCAGAAUUCUUCAUACGGUGCAUCACCUACUGGAAUACCAUCCCAGGGGGCCUGUUGUAUAAGCUCACAUUGCACUAUUUGGAAAUCCUUUAAGUUACAAUACUUCUAAUUGCUGUACUUCUCCAUGCAGGAAAUGCCUGUUGGAAGACAUCCAGAAUCCUUAACAGGAAGGAGUGUGUACCUGUGUUUGGAGAGGAAAAGAAACCCUGGUGGAUCACUAGUAGCAAAACUCAAGGUCUAUGACUUUUUCCUUUCAGAAAAAUAAAGCUCACACAUGUACCAUAUUCAGCUUUCUUCAGCCUAUUUGGCAUUCCUCACAAGCCCAAACUUUUAGGACCCUAGCCUACUUUCUCCUUUGUCGGCUCUCUCCUGAAAUGACAUUAUGACUCUCAGGUAGAGGCAUACCAGGGCAGGUCUGUACUGGGGUGGUUAUCAAUGCACAAGGCCAUACUGGCUCCAACUGUACCUAUCACAGCAGUAUGGUUGGCUGCUGCUGUGGGACAACUGUGAUAUCUGGAGCUGGUGCCCAGGUUCCCUACUCCCAGUUAUGCUAUUGCUCUCAAGUCCUUUUUGCAAUAUUUCAGCCUGGCCAGUUGUUCCUCAUUUUGCAUCUGUGCAUUUGAUUAUUCCUUACUAAAUGUAGUAUUUUGUACAUAUAAUUUCUUCCUGUUUACCUCGGACCAUUUUUCCAAUUGAUCACUUUUAACCUGAAUCCUGUCCUCCAGUUUGUUUGUUUUUUUGCCACACCCAUCAUGGUGUCAUCCACAGAUUUAAUAAGAAAAUUCAGUUCCAUCCUCCAAGUAAUUAAAGAACAAAUUGAACAGUACUGAAACCAAGGUAGCCUCUUGGGGAGCUCUGCUUGAUGACUCCUUCCUGCUUUACAUUACCUUAUAAGACAUCAAGGAUGGUCUUAUUAUUGUCCUGUACCAGAAGAACUGCAGGUUUAUUAGGAACAGCUAUUGAGGGAUUACCUCCUUUUGUGUUGCUGGCAAGAUUUUGACUCGCAUCAUCAGAAAUCAGCUCAGCUCCGCUGGAGACUCUCCCGCCCAAAGGCUGGUGUGGCUUCUGUCCUAGCAGAUCAAUAAUUGACCUGAUAUUUCUCUGAAACAGCUGCUGGAAAAGUAGAAAGAGCAAUGCAGAGAGAUUUAUGUGUUCAUAGAUCUAAUCAAAACAUUUGACAAUCUCUCAAAGCAUGUUAUGGGCUCUAAUGCCAAAACUAGGACCUUUUCCAUGCCUGUUGUCAAUGUCAGGAAAGCUGUCAGCUUUUGUGACAACAUGAAAUGGUUUGUUUCCAUUGCUAAUGCACAAACCUAAAUUUUGGCAUCACAAUGACUGUUAGAAAUGACUGUAUACUAGCUCUUGUCCUCAAUGUUGUGUACCUUACUUUUGUCAUUCAUGCUGCCUUUGAUAGCAACUUCCUUCUUUGAUCCCCUCCCAAGUCUUCAGAAGGCAGUAUAGGAGAUACGGCAGGCUGUUUUUUCUCAGCAGAUUACAUUGAAAGUUGGCAUGGAGUGAUGGGUUGGUGACUUUAAGCUGGUGAAUGCUGGCAGAUAAGAGUCAAGCUGAGCUGAGCUGCGGUCUUUACAGUUGAGAGUUAAGCUAAGCUGUAGCUAACGGUUAUGGCCCUAAGCAGAGCCUGUUGGCAGUCAAACCCACAGAUCAGUUGUGAAAAGGUUGAGCUUAUGCACAAUGCAAAUCCUUUCAGUAUCCAUUGACUAAAGGAAACCUCAGUCUUCCAAUACCUGGGAAACAUGGAACUUGCAGAUCGAGUGCGUGAUGCAGAAGUAUGGAAGAGGACUUCAUGUGCUUCGGGAAACUUUUCUGCCUUGAAGUCUUGCAUGGCAAAGAAGAGGCCUUCUGGUGGCAACAAAGAUCUCAGUCUUUAAGGUGAUGAUGUUCUCCUGACUCCUUUGUGUUAGUUACACAACUUUUGUAGUUGGAGAACUUGGGCUAGAUUUCAAACUGAUAUUAUGGUGCAGAGAGGGCAGGAGUCCCCUCAGAAGCCCACUGCCCCUCCUUCCCAUGGGAGAUACUGCUUUGCUGUGAGAGGAGGUCCAUGUCAGGUGUCUUGCCAAAGCCAGGAUAACCUUCCCCUGGCCCUACAGCUGACACAAUUUUAUAUGGUGAGCUGUGAUCUAUAUCCCUUAAUGUGGUAGCAGCUGCAGCGCUAGAGAGUAGUUAAACUGGCUUUUGGUGGUGACCCCUGCCACCUAGCAGUGGCAGCAUCUCCUAUGGGAUAGAAGGGCAGUGGGCUUUUGAGGGGGACUUUUGCCUUCUGCUCUAUACAGCCCAAGUCUCGAGGCCCUGUGCCUCCAUUCUGGUGUCUUCCUUUACUAAAGGCCUGGGGCUUAUGUCCUAGUGACCUACCCAUAGUUAUGCUCCUGUCUGAGGCUCAUCUUGGGAAUCCUCUGGUGGCAGAGGGUAUAACAGUGAGGAACUACACAGAACCAGAUCAUUAUACCUGAAAACAGAGAUCCAUAAAGUAGGGCUUCACUGGCUAAGGUGCAUAUAUUGCAUGUGUGAUGAUGACCAGACCACAAAGAAGUUUUUUGGUGGGAGAAUGAAUGAAAGUGCAUAACUUACUGGUAGACUAUAGCAGCAUCAAAUCUGACCUGAGGAAAGUCAGUUUGCUUGACAACUAGGUACUGGCCUCUGAUUGCAGAAUGUGGCAUGCACCAGCCAGAUGUGUGAGGUAGAAAAUCAAAAGAGAACUUUUACAAGCAUCUGCUGAGAGACACAGAUAUUGACAUCUGCAAAAUCCUUAUUGCUUAUGCUAGAGAUCUAGUCAGUUUUGUUAAAAUGCAUCAGCAAUAUUGGGAGCAGGGGCCAGGAUCUAGGUCUCUUUCAAUGGGGGUGGGGGGGGCACUUAGCUGGGCUACAGAGAUGCAUUCUCACUUGUUUGCUGUCCCAUAGGGCUUGGGAAUCUUUUUAUUUUUCCUAUUAGCUCAGCUUUAAGGCAGAGGGGUGCAGGUUACUCUCAGUCUAGUUAAGCCUAUAGCAUAGUGGUUAGGGUACUUAACUAGGAUAUGUAGGUGCCAGAUCUCUGAUGGGGGAUGGGGGGGGGGCUAGAUCCCAGGUCUCCCAUGUCCUAGUGCACAGGUUUUUACCAUUAGCCUAUUUAUGGAGAAGGAUUACCUACUAUAUACUGAAGGCAAUGCUGUCAGGUAGCUGCAGUCAUUCAAGUAGAUAUCUCCCUGCUCAGACACUGAGACCUGCUAAGACAUCUCUAUCUUAUGGUAUCAAGAUCAAGCAGAACUGUGACCAGAUCGGGUUAUCUUAGCAGUUGGUUAAGAUUUCCCACUGAGAAUGGAGAGCUUUGUUUCACUGGGAUCCAUCCAUAAAAGCACUUAAGCACUGUCUCUUGCAAAGGGAAUGCCUUGUGAUUCUGUAAAGCAAAUAGUGUCUUCCUCCAGCGGCUCUCUUGUUCUCCAAAUGGAGAGUACUGAGAACUAUGCAUCUCCAUGGGCAAAACAGGAUUCUUCCAUUUGCCCAGGAGCAGGAAUAUACUUGAGAGGAUUUCCUUAGGAGUGUCUGUGCUCCAGUUCCUUUCCAGUUGGUCCCUACUGAAGUGUGUUGUGGACUAAGAGCUUAGAAACUGCCUCUGGCAUAUAUCUGAUGUAGAUGAACAGAAGUUGAGCUGCAUCUGGGGGUCAUGGCUUGCUCCCAACCAGGUCACAAUCACCCUGGCUGAUUUUUCUGACUCAGGUUCUGAUCAUUUGUGAGAAUAUCAUCUGAAUUAAACACUAAAACAGGAGUUGUAAAUUCAAUCUCUUCUCAAACUCCUUUAGUGAACUUAUUAGGUCCUAGUUUUGUUUUCAGUUGUCAACAUAAAUGGACUGAAAACAGUUCUCACUACAGGAUAUUUCCAUUUUUGUAAUCCUUCCUCCUACUUUUGCCCACACACUUAUGUCAGUGUCUUGCCAUAUAGCUCCUCCCCACCCUAUUAUUCCAAAUCUGUUAUCCUGAUCCGCAGUUCAACAACUUCAAUCCUGAUCCGCAGUUCCCUUGGUAUUCUUGCUGUAGCCUCCACAGCUCUCCGACUUGGGUUUACGCUAUUCUCCAUAGCCUCCUCCCCUUUGCAGCAGCUGCAGUCAGUUCUGGGAAGUUAAUCUUUAGCAGCUUCAGUUUUAUGAGUGCUGCAGAGAGAGCACUUUUUACAUCCUAGCUGAAACUGGUGCCAAAGCUCCACUCAGUGCAGCAGUCAGGAGUCCAUCUCUGCUCACAUAUUUCUCCCCUCUGCUACCCUGAGGUUCUCACUCCUCUAUGGAGCCCAAAAGUAGGGAGAGGGUCUUGUGUCAUUUUGUGUGUCAUUCUCAUCCCCUUAUCGCUGGCCAGGGACAAAAGGGAAGGUUAUCGCUACAGGUGAUUGCUUUGGCCUUGCCCAUGAUGGAUUUACAGGACUGGCUGAAAAGUGAGCUUCUCUCUCUUCUCAUUUUCCCUCAUUCUUCAUCUCCUGUCACAUUGCUGCUGGGGAACAUACUGUGGGAAUGUGGAGAGAGAGUUCUGUCUCCUGGGUCUGUGAAGCAUUUGCUGCAGCAAGGUGUGUGUAUGUUAUCAGGGCUACACUAAAAAAAGGUUUACUACCAUACCUAUGUCAGAAGUUGUAUGUUUUUUUUUACUGAUAUAGUAUACUGAUUACGAGCCCUAACAAAGAUGCAAUUAUAUGCAAGUAUAGUUUAUUUUGUUUCAUGACGUCUAUCUAAUAUUGUACAAUAACAAGUACAAU
This is a long non-coding RNA of Gavialis gangeticus (Gharial), 5542 nucleotides long. RefSeq lists it as uncharacterized. Lineage: Eukaryota; Metazoa; Chordata; Crocodylia; Gavialidae. The record is from RefSeq and is a predicted model, not a curated record. The transcript is spliced from 2 exons.